AAAAACAUCACCUCUAGCAUUUCCAGUAUUAGAGGCACUGCCUGCCCAGUGACAUCUGUUUAAACGGCCGCGGUAUCCUAACCGUGCAAAGGUAGCAUAAUCACUUGUUCCCUAAAUAGGGACUUGUAUGAAUGGCCACACGAGGGUUUUACUGUCUCUUACUUCCAAUCAGUGAAAUUGACCUUCCCGUGAAGAGGCGGGAAUGACUAAAUAAGACGAGAAGACCCUAUGGAGCUUUAAUUAACUGAUUCACAAAAAACAACACACAAACCUAACCUUCAGGGACAACAAAACUUUUGAUUGAAUCAGCAAUUUCGGUUGGGGUGACCUCGGAGAACAAAACAACCUCCGAGUGAUUUAAAUCCAGACUAACCAGUCAAAAUAUAUAAUCACUUAUUGAUCCAAACCAUUGAUCAACGGAACAAGUUACCCUAGGGAUAACAGCGCAAUCCUAUUCCAGAGUCCAUAUCGACAAUUAGGGUUUACGACCUCGAUGUUGGAUCAAGACAUCCUAAUGGUGCAACCGCUAUUAAGGGUUCGUUUGUUCAACGAUUAAAGUCUUACAUGAUCUGA
This 573-nucleotide ribosomal RNA is filed under the name Equus caballus (horse). RNAcentral's name for it is "partial 16S ribosomal RNA". It matches the Rfam family "Bacterial large subunit ribosomal RNA", at positions 1809 to 2608 of the family's 2925-position model. The record is from RNAcentral. Lineage: Eukaryota; Metazoa; Chordata; Mammalia; Perissodactyla; Equidae.